UGGAGAAAGAGGGGGAUCUUCGGACCUCUUGCUAAUAGAUGAGCCUAGGCCGGAUUAGCUAGUUGGUAGGGUAAAGGCCUACCAAGGCGACGAUCUGUAGCUGGUCUGAGAGGAUGGCCAGCCACACUGGAACUGAGACACGGUCCAGACUCCUACGGGAGGCAGCAGUGGGGAAUAUUGGACAAUGGGGGCAACCCUGAUCCAGCCAUGCCGCGUGUGAAGAAGGCCUUCGGGUUGUAAAGCACUUUAAGCGAGGAGGAAGGUUUACUAGCUAAUACCUAGUAGAAUUGACGUUACUCGCAGAAUAAGCACCGGCUAACUCUGUGCCAGCAGCCGCGGUAAUACAGAGGGUGCAAGCGUUAAUCGGAAUUACUGGGCGUAAAGCGCGCGUAGGCGGUAUGUUAAGUCGGAUGUGAAAUCCCUGGGCUCAACCUAGGCACUGCAUCCGAUACUGGCACACUAGAGUGUGGGAGAGGAAGGUAGAAUUCCAGGUGUAGCGGUGAAAUGCGUAGAGAUCUGGAGGAAUACCGAUGGCGAAGGCAGCCUUCUGGCCUAACACUGACGCUGAGGUGCGAAAGCAUGGGGAGCAAACAGGAUUAGAUACCCUGGUAGUCCAUGCUGUAAACGAUGUCAACUAGCCGUUGGGAGCCUUGAGCUUUUAGUGGCGUAGCUAACGCGAUAAGUUGACCGCCUGGGGAGUACGGUCGCAAGACUAAAACUCAAAUGAAUUGACGGGGGCCCGCACAAGCGGUGGAGCAUGUGGUUUAAUUCGAUGCAACGCGAAGAACCUUACCUGGCCUUGACAUGUCUGGAAUCUUGCAGAGAUGCGAGAGUGCCUUCGGGAAUCAGAACACAGGUGCUGCAUGGCUGUCGUCAGCUCGUGUCGUGAGAUGUUGGGUUAAGUCCCGCAACGAGCGCAACCCUUUUCUUUAUUUGCCAGCACGUAAUGGUGGGAACUCUAAAGAUACUGCCGGUGACAAACCGGAGGAAGGCGGGGACGACGUCAAGUCAUCAUGGCCCUUACGGCCAGGGCUACACACGUGCUACAAUGGUUGGUACAGAGGGUUGCUAAGCCGCGAGGCCACGCUAAUCUCACAAAGCCAAUCGUAGUCCAGAUUGGAGUCUGCAACUCGACUCCAUGAAGUCGGAAUCGCUAGUAAUCGCGGAUCAGAAUGCCGCGGUGAAUACGUUCCCGGGCCUUGUACACACCGCCCGUCACACCAUGGGAGUUUGUUGCACCAGAAGUAGUUAGCCUAACCGCAAGGAGGGCGAUUACCACGGUGUGGCCAAUACUGGGGUGAAGUCGUAACAAGGUA
This 1316-nucleotide ribosomal RNA is filed under the name metagenome. Its description in RNAcentral is "bacterial SSU rRNA". It matches the Rfam family "Bacterial small subunit ribosomal RNA", at positions 198 to 1498 of the family's 1533-position model. The record is from RNAcentral.